RNAcentral lists this ribosomal RNA (518 nucleotides) under uncultured bacterium. RNAcentral's name for it is "bacterial SSU rRNA". It matches the Rfam family "Bacterial small subunit ribosomal RNA", at positions 21 to 518 of the family's 1533-position model. The record is from RNAcentral.
GGCUCAGAACGAACGGCUGGCGGCGUGCUUAACACAUGCAAGUCGAACGCGAAAGGGACUUCGGUCCUGAGUAAAGUGGCGCACGGGUGAGUAACGCGUAGAUAACCUGUCUUCAUGUCUGGAAUAAUACGCCGAAAGGGGUACUAAUACCGGAUAUUCUUGCUUUUCAUAAGUUAUGCAAGCAAAGGUGGCCUCUGCAUAUGCUACUGCAUGAAGAGGGGUCUGCGUACCAUUAGCUAGUAGGUGGGGUAAUGGCCUACCUAGGCGACGAUGGUUAGCGGGUCUGAGAGGAUGAUCCGCCACACUGGCACUGGAACACGGGCCAGACUCCUACGGGAGGCAGCAGUGAGGAAUAUUGCGCAAUGGGGGAAACCCUGACGCAGCGACGCCGCGUGAGUGAGGAAGGCCUUCGGGUCGUAAAGCUCUGUCAAGAGGAAAGAAGUGUACAAUGGCUAAUACCUGUUGUAUUUGACGGUACCUCUAAAGGAAGCACCGGCUAACUCCGUGCCAGCCGCGGC